AUAUAUAUCACUAUAACUUUGCUUCUUUCUUGACUUUUCAAGAUCUUGGCAUAGAUAACUUCUCCAAAAGCUUUAAAACUCCUUUUUUGCAAAACUCUUGGGAUCGGGCUCUUGUAAAUAUUUUAUUUUUUAAAAUCCCUCAAGCUCAUCAAAAUUUCCAAAGCUUUGUUGUACCCACCUUCGAUCUAGCACCUAUGUGGCCAAAACCCAAGGAGGAUGGUGAGAUGGUGGUUGCAAAAUGAAAGAGAUAAGAGCGACAACAUUCCACCACCAUAAUCAAAGAAGCAUAAAGAUGCUCGUUGUAGGAUCUAGAUGGUCAAAGCGUUGUUGCCGAAGAAGAGAGAGAUAAACCAUUGGCGACGGGCAAGGUUGUUUUGUUGACAACGUUUAAUGGGGCUUGCGGCAGCUCAUCGCCCAUGGCCGCAGGACCAUCUGUACCAAUUUCGGCUAAGCAGUAUUGUUGGUGAAGAGGAAGGAACCUUUGUCACUAAGGAGCGAGGUUUUUGUUGUAAGAGAUUGAUGUCAAAUGCGGCGGCAAGAUGUUGAAUUUGUUUUUUGUGCAAGCUCGAUGAAGUCGGAUGCGACGCUCACCUUGGUUGGCUCUUCCUUAGGAGAUCACAGAAAUACCGAGAGGUUCCGACCCAUAAGGUUGAGUAGUCAUAAUUGAAGCUGAAUUUCAUAUUGAAGUUGGCUCCUUAUUGAUUCUGAUAGUCAUAAGGUAUGGAAAUCAGUUUGUAGUGCAGCUGUGCUUGAUUUCAAGUUGGCCAUCGUGUUGGAAGUAGAAUGAGUGGAUAACUGAUUGUAAUUUUGACUUGGGUCCAUAGGAGAGAAUGAUGAUGAAUGAGAGGCCAUCUUAAACCUCUAUACAAAUUGGACCACAUUGGGGGUGCUUUAAUAUUUCAGUUUCUUUAGUAUUGGACAAUUUGGUGAGAUGUGUUUGCCAAGAUUAGUUUCAAUGAAGCCAUUGCCAUGAGCGAUACUGCUGGCUGCCUUAGGACAGCUUACUUGAGAUGGAAUGAAGUGAAGAAUCCUUUGGCGAUGUAGUAUAGAGGUGUGAUAUAGUUGCUGUAUGUGCUGCCAGCGCCCAGUAUUAUGUCCUUGUGGUGAAUGCAAGCAAAGUUAGGGUCACAAUUUGUUGCUUUAUGCUUGCUGCAAUGGUGAAGAAAGUGUUGGCGAAGCUGAGAUUAGUGUUUACAUAUAGUGUGCACCUUUUUUUAUCAUGGUAUUGCCCAUCCAUAAUAGCUUUUGUGUCUUGGGCCUUGAUAAGGCAAAAUAGACCAUGAUAGCAUGAGAAGAUGCUUUGUAAGAUGGUCACUGUGUGCAUCAAAAGGAAUGGACAGUGCAACUUAUUAUCAAAUGAGAUGCUCCUCGACGAUGUGUGGCUAUAAGAGAUGUUGUUCAAUGAAACAUUGUUGCGUCGAGUUGCUUUCGCUUUUGGCGAUAUCGCAGCCACUAUUCUUGUUAUAUCAUUGUAACAUAUUGAAUAUGGUACAUAGGCAGCUGCUCUGUUUGUUUGAGAGCGAAGCCACAACUUAUUUGGCAAGUCAAAACUUGAUGUGACAAGUCAAAACCUGAUGCCACCCCUUCUUGUCAUACCAAUAGGAGUUGCUAAGUGUGCCACUUUGCCGUUUUGCAUGGAAUAAGUAUACUUUAGGAGACUACACCAUUAUUGAGCAAGGACUUGUAACUCACUUGAAUGAUUUUGGCUUAGGCAAUUGCAGUGCCAUCGUUAGGACCUUCAUUCACAAUGCCAAUUUCAUUGCCAAUGCACCAUUUUCGAAGGUUAAAGCUGCUUCAGGUAGCAACAUAGAGCUGCAAUAGAUAGUACCAUGGCCACCGUUAGGUAACUUUGAACUCUUUUUGUUUUGUUUCUUGUUGGUGUUGGACAUUUGAUGAACUUGUUGUCUUGCUGUCUAUGCGUAAGGCCAACAAGUUGCUUUAAGUUUCAAUGUUAAGAAACAACAUCAUUAGUUGUUGUAAAAUUGAGUUCCUGAGUUGAAAUUGAGUUUCUUUUGUCUAGUCUUUUCACUCCUAGCUCACCUCAAGAGGAUUGCACAGCUUCUUUGGUUGAGCUUGGUGAGGAAAACAUCAACAAACAUGUGGCUUCCUUUUUUAAUGGCUAGAGAGUGCUUGUGGUAAUGAAAAUGCAUAAGACUUGGUUUGUUCCUUUGGCUGAGGAGAGACUAUUCAAAUGAAAGAGUGUUGCCAAGAACUUGAUUGAGGAUAGGCCGAUUGUAGAGUUUCUUCUCUACUACCUCUAUUGCAUCGUCGAUACAUGGUUCAGGUGAGGCUUGGAAGUUCAACUUGCAUCUCUUGUCAACUGGAUUUUUGUGAAGAGAUGGAAACUGGUGGCCAUAAAUUCAUAGAGAAAUCAAUUGCAAGCGAGUGUUCUGAACAUAAUGGCUUCAGAUAUUGUUGCUAAUCUUGAUCUCCUUCGAGUUGCCCUUUCUUUUCAUUUUGUUUAUUUCUUGAAUUUGCUAAAACCUUGAGAACUUGAGUUGGUUAUAACAUGUAAUGGGGGCUACUACCUUGGAAACACAUUCUCUUAUAUUUCCCUUUUGUGGGCAACUCACUUUUGUGUAUAGAGCAACUCCUAUGUACUAGUAUUUGUUGUAAGUUCGAGCUUUGCUUCCUCA
Long non-coding RNA from Quercus robur (English oak), 2636 nucleotides. RefSeq lists it as uncharacterized. The record is from RefSeq and is a predicted model, not a curated record. The transcript has 3 exons. Lineage: Eukaryota; Viridiplantae; Streptophyta; Magnoliopsida; Fagales; Fagaceae.